GACCGAAGUACAUACGUCCACUUUGACAGAGCGCGCUGAGCACAGAUGUUACAAGCUCGAAAGAAGACAAUCGACUAUCGAGCGGGAAAUCGACGUCAACGCCAUCAUCCAACUUCGCAUCGAUAAAAAACCAUCGAAGAUCGUUGUUCCCGCAUAUCGACUCAACAUUCGAGAGACAGACAACGACUCGGUCAAAAUAAAGCUUUACAGAAGAUAGAAUAAAGAUAUAUUUAAUGAUACAAUAAUGAUGAUAAAACUUUCAAAAUAAGUAAGAGAUUCCUCUUAAAAGAAAGAAAAAAAAAGGGAAAAAAAAAGAAAAAAAAAAAAAAAAAGAAAUAAAGAACAGGAAAUGUGCGCUGCUCGAUUCUUUGCAUUUCUUCUUUCGCACAGUGGCUUUUACACGCGCACAAUUACGAGACAGACGCACAAUUUCCAAAUUAGAAA
Molecule: long non-coding RNA, 444 nt
Organism: Vespula pensylvanica (western yellowjacket)
Lineage: Eukaryota; Metazoa; Arthropoda; Insecta; Hymenoptera; Vespidae
Exons: 2
Source: RefSeq, a predicted model, not a curated record